GGCUUAACCAUAGAAUUGCCUCAGAAACUGUUUCGCUUGAGUCAGUGAGGGGAGGGCGGAAUUCCUGGUGUAGCGGUGAAAUGCGUAGAUAUCAGGAGGAAGGCCGGUAGCGAAGGCGGCCCUCUGGCACUGAACUGACGCUGAGGCGCGAAAGCGUGGGUAGCAAACAGGAUUAGAUACCCUGGUAGUCCACGCCCUAAACGGUGGGCAUUAGGUGUAGGGCUCGUAAGGGUUCUGUGCCGAAGGGAAACCAUUAAAUGCCCCGCCUGGGGAAUACGGCCGCAAGGUUGAAACUCAAAGGAAUUGACGGGGGCCCGCACAAGCGGUGGAGCAUGUGGUUUAAUUCGACGCUACGCGAAGAACCUUACCUGGGUUUGACAUGUUAGUAGUAAAAACCUGAAAAGGGGCUGACCCUGAGGUAACUCAGGGAGCUAACACAGGUGCUGCAUGGCUGUCGUCAGCUCGUGCCGUGAGGUGUUGGGUUAAGUCCCGCAACGAGCGCAACCCUUAUCCUCUGUUGGUCGUAAACGAUCUCUCUGGGGAAACUGCCGGCGAUGAGCUGGAGGAAGGUGGGGAUGACGUCAAGUCAGCAUGGCCCUUAUGUCCAGGGCGACACACGUGCUACAAUGGCUGCUACAGAGGGAUGCAAUACCGUGAGGUGGAGCCAAUCCUUAAAAGCAGUCUCAGUGGGGAUCGGAGUCUGCAAUUCGACCCCGUGAACGCGGAAUCGCUAGUAAUCAUGGAUCAGCCAUGCCAUGGUGAAUACGUUCCCGGGCCUUGUACACACCGCCCGUCACACCACGAAAGCCUGUUGUACCCGAAGCUGGGGAGUUAACUCCUGAGCUUGUCGAGGGGG
RNAcentral lists this ribosomal RNA (856 nucleotides) under uncultured Nitrospirota bacterium. RNAcentral describes it as "bacterial SSU rRNA". It matches the Rfam family "Bacterial small subunit ribosomal RNA", at positions 606 to 1464 of the family's 1533-position model. Lineage: Bacteria; Pseudomonadati; Nitrospirota. The record is from RNAcentral.